ACGAACGCUGGCGGCGUGCUUAACACAUGCAAGUCGAACGGUGAAGCGCCUUCCUUUUUGGUGGGUGUGGAUGAGUGGCGAACGGGUGAGUAACACGUGAGUAACCUGCCCCCUUCUUCUGGAUAACCGCAUGAAAGUGUGGCUAAUACGGGAUAUUCUGGGUCUGUCGCAUGAUGGGUCUGGGAAAGAUAUUGUUUCGGUGGGGGAUGGGCUCGCGGCCUAUCAGCUUGUUGGUGGGGUGAUGGCCUACCAAGGCGGUGACGGGUAGCCGGCCUGAGAGGGUGGACGGUCACACUGGGACUGAGACACGGGCCAGACUCCUACGGGAGGCAGCAGUGGGGAAUAUUGCACAAUGGGCGCAAGCCUGAUGCAGCGACGCCGCGUGAGGGAUGGAGGCCUUCGGGUUGUGAACCUCUUUCGCCAGUGAAGCAGGCCUGCCUCGUUUGUGGGUGGGUUGACGGUAGCUGGAUAAGAAGCGCCGGCUAACUACGUG
This 493-nucleotide ribosomal RNA is filed under the name uncultured bacterium. Its description in RNAcentral is "partial 16S ribosomal RNA". It matches the Rfam family "Bacterial small subunit ribosomal RNA", at positions 29 to 507 of the family's 1533-position model. The record is from RNAcentral.